Molecule: long non-coding RNA, 7363 nt
Filed under: Citrus maxima (pomelo)
Lineage: Eukaryota; Viridiplantae; Streptophyta; Magnoliopsida; Sapindales; Rutaceae
Description: long non-coding RNA (CMAX_LNC000232)
Source: RNAcentral
GAGACUUUAAUCGCCGAGGGAGUUUUUGAGGCGGUGGCUACUGAGGUGGUGCCUGAGAGAGCUCCAGAGCCUGUAGCAGAUAAAAGACCCAUUGAGCCAACAAUAGUAGGCUUGCAAUCACAGCUUGAACAAGUUUGGAGAUGUCUUGUAGAAGAAUCAGUGGGAAUCAUUGGCCUAUAUGGUAUGGGCGGUGUUGGUAAAACCACACUAUUGACCCAUAUCAACAAUAAAUUUCUUGAGAGUCCCACAAACUUUGAUUGUGUGAUUUGGGUCCUAGUUUCAAAAGACCUGCGACUUGAAAAAAUUCAAGAAGAUAUUGGGAAGAAGAUAGGUUUGGUUGAUGAUUCAUGGAAGAAUAAAAGUUUUGAAGAGAAAGCUGUGGACAUCCUGCGGAGAUUAGGAGAGAAGAGAUUUGUAUUGUUGUUAGAUGAUUUAUGGGAGCGGGUUGAUUUAACAGAAGUGGGCGUUCCACUUCCCAGCGCACAAAAUACUACCUCAAAAGUCGUAUUCACAACCCGUUCCAUUGGUGUUUGUGGCAGCAUGAGAGCUAGGCCGGUUAAAGUGGCAUGCCUAUCAGAAAAGCAAGCUUGGGAACUGUUCCGCGAAAAUGUUGGGGAAGAAACUCUUGAGAGUGAUCAUGAGAUCGUUGAGCUAGCCCAAACUGUAGCCAAAGAGUGUGGUGGUUUGCCACUCGCACUUAUUACUAUUGGUCGAGCUAUGGCCAACAGAAAUACAGCUGAGGAGUGGAGACAUGCAAUUGAAGUAUUAAAAAGGUCAGCUUCGGAGUUUGCGGGUUUGGAAAAAGAUGUAUAUCCUCUUUUAAAGUUUAGUUAUGAUAGUUUGCAGAAUGAGACGAUUAGAACUUGUUUCUUAUAUUGCUGUUUGUAUGCGGAAGAUUAUGUCAUUCCUAAAUGGGACUUGAUUGAUUGUUGGAUUGGUGAGGGAUUCUUAGAGGAAUCUCACGGUUUUGGUGCAGAAAACCAAGGAUACUACAUUGUGGGCACUCUUGUUCGUGCAUGUUUAUUAGAAGAGGUGGAAGAUGAUGAAGUAAAAAUGCAUGACGUUAUUCGUGAUAUGGCUAUAUGGAUAACCUGUGAAAUUGAGAAGGAGAAGAGAAACUUUUUGGUUCGUGCAGGUGCUGGAUUAAAAGAGGCACCGGAUGUUAAAAGAUGGGAAAAUGUGAGAAGAUUGUCAUUGAUGCAAAACCAAAUUGAAACUCUGUCAGAGGUUCCCACAUGCCCUCAUCUCCAUACUCUAUUUCUUGCCUCUAAUAAUAGUUUGCAGAGGAUCACCGAUGGCUUCUUCCAACUUAUGCCUUCUCUCAAAGUUUUGAAGAUGUCAAACUGCUGGAAUUUUACUUUGAAAUUACCUUUGGCGAUGUCAGAGUUGGGUUCGUCACUAGAACUUCUUGAUAUUUCAUAUGCCAGCAUAACAGAGUUACCAGAAGAGUUAAAGUUGUUGGUAAAUCUGAAAUGUUUGAAUUUGAGGUGGACAGAUACGUUAAAUAAAAUUCCACGGCAACUAAUAUCAAUUCUUUCAUGGUUACGUGUGUUGAGAAUGUUGGGUACUGGCUGGUUCAAUUUUCUUGAAGCACCAGAAGACAGCGUUUUAUUUGGUGGGGGUGAAGUUUUGAUACAGGAAUUGCUCGGUUUGAAAUAUUUAGAGGUAUUGGAGUUGACCUUGGGAAGUUAUCAUGCUCUCCAAAUUCUUUUGAGCUCAAAUAAGUUAAAAAGUUGUAUUCGAUCUCUUUACCUCCAUUUGACCGGAGAUACAGCGUCAAUUAUUGAUGCUACGGUUUUCGCAGAUCUAAACCAACUCAAUCAAUUAUGGAUUGAUGAAGGUAUUGAGUUGGAAGAAUUGAAGAUUGAUUAUACGGAGAUAGUACGAAAAAGGCGGGAACCUUUUGUUUUCCGCAGCCUUCACUGUGUUCGUAUAGAGCAGUGCCAUAAAUUGAAAGAUGUGACAUUCCUCAUUUUUGCUCCAAACCUCAAGUCUCUUGACCUAUCCUACUGCUCUUCUAUGGAAGAAGUAAUCAGCGUCGGAAAAUUUGCUGAGACUCCUGAGAUGAUGGGACAUAUAAGCCCUUUUGAAAAUCUCCAAAGUCUUCAUUUAUCGCAAUUGCCAGCUUUGAAGAGCAUCUACUGGAAGCCAUUGCCUUUCACUCAUCUCAAAGAAAUAUCUGUGGGUUAUUGCCGUAAUCUUAAAAAGCUUCCACUCGAUUCCAACAGUGCAAAGGAGCGUAAAUUUGUAAUUCGUGGAGAAGAAGACUGGUGGAACCGACUUCAAUGGGAGGAUGAAGCCACUCAAAUUGCUUUUCGUUCCUGUUUCCAACCAAUGGGAGUACUGAGCGGUGGUCGCAAAAUUUGAUUUCUGGUGAGUGCGUUUGUCUUUUAAAAGCAGAAUUUAAAAGAAAUUUAUUCUUGUCGUUUUCUUCUCUGUUUUUAUUUGAUUUCUGGUUAGUUUCUCUCUCGCACUGCCAUUACUGUUUUAAUUUCCUGUCAAAAGACGAGCGAGAAGAACAUAUAUAUGACGUAAACCAAUUGAUAAAUAUUAAUUGCCUGUUCUCUGUUUUUAUUAAGUAUACUUUAUUUUGCCCUGUUCUCUGUUUUUAUUUCAUUCUCUCUCUCUCCCUCUCUUUCCUGUCUUCUGCAAGUCAUAAUUAAAUGUUGAAUUAUAUGGAAUUAAUGCUUUAUAAAUCUGCCUACGCUGGCUUUUUUUUUUUUUUUUGUGGGGUCGAAUUGAUGCUCUGGUUUUCGACUACUUUUUGUUGUCAAAAUUUUCUCUGUUUUUUCAAAUUGAUGCUUUAUUUAUAUCUUCUUCGUGAAAAGUGAUUUAAUUUCCUGCCAAAAGACGAACGAGAAGAACAUUAGAGUCUAACUAAUGCUCACAUAAAUUUCCCGUAAGAAUAUAUAUAUAAUUAGACUGGAAUGCACACCUCUAGAUUGAACAGAAUUAAAGCUGAGAAAAUAUUGAGUAUAGUAGCCCUCUUUACAGAAAAUGACGCGAAAGUUAAUUUAGAAAAAGAUAUAUUCUUGAUUAAUCCAUUUUCUGAAGUUUUUUAUUUUGUAUGGUCAAUUAUACCUUCAUACUAAAAAUUUCUGAAGUUAUGGGGUUGUUGGAUGUGUUUUGGAUAUUUGCAGCUAAGUUUGAGUUUAUAUCUCAACUUAAAAUUUGUAGUUUUCACUUGAAAAAAUUCAGUUAAAAAUUUAUUGGUAGAAUUGUGAAAAAAGUUAAAAUUUUUAGUUCAACCCGAUUGCAUAUUUAAGAACAUCUCAAAUGAAUUGCUUACUGCUAUCAUCAUCAUUAUUGUCCAUAUAAUAAUGGAUCUUUAUUAUAUAUAUAUAUGUUUCCACUAAAAUAUAUUUAAUUAUUCUUUAUUUUUCCAUUGUUGCGUGUAAGAUUUAUUUGAGUUCUAAGUUAUAUCAAUACAAAUGUUAUCUUAUCCAUAAAAAAGUUAGAUCCAACAAUUAUGAAAAUUACCAUAGAGUUGCUUUCAAUUAUUUUUUAAAAAUACCAGGAGUAAAUAAUAAUUAGUUCAAGUGGUGUAGACUAAAAAGUGUUCACCUUUAUUUUUUAUCUGUUAUUUAUUUAUUUCAUUAAUGCACAUGCUAUACAUUUGAGACACUCCAUCCUAUGCAAUGUGAAUAAAUUUCUUUCCUUUUUCCUUUACUCUUUUUAUUUGACAAUAAAGUUUCCAUCUAUCAUCUAUCAUCUAUCAUCUAUGUACGCAAAAUUUCUGCAACAAGUACAAAACAUAAAAAUAUAUAUGAUUGUUAAGGGAAACACGCAGAAGUUCAUCAUUUCAAUGUUCAGUAUUACCAAUUUUGGCAUUAAGCUUGUACGAAUAUAUUCCACUUAGAAAGCAAAAUAUUAGACUCAUGAUUUUAAUUCAUUCAUUAUCUCUCAUUUUAAUCCCAAAAUAUUCAAGAGUAUCCAAGUUACCAUAAGACUUCAGAGGCUCGAGCCUUAGCCAGAGAUGGUUAAUUGAUAGACUAUGUGCCUGGGUCGAGCACUGGAAGCCUGCAAUGCAGACUGAUUGAUUUAUCAGUUUGACGUGUGCCAGGAAUGAAGAACUGGAAUAUCACCGUCAAGCACGCACCCUGUGGAGCAAUACCAAAGAAUGCACAAUCUGGCUUUGCUAGGUGACACUGGAGGCUUUUUGAAAAGUGCUUCACGCUCACUUGCACAGAUUGAGCAUCCCCUCCGGAUAUUGCCCUCUCUGAUCGAGUCCGAGCACUCAAAUUUCAAUCCUCAGAUGGAGCUACAGCUUUCUCUCCAAUAACCAACAAUUUUCUAAACUCAGCUCCUAGUGUGAUGAGAGUUGUUGAUAUUUGUAAAUGGAGAUCCCCAUAUUUGCAAAUGGAGACAUUUAACAAAUCACCAACAUGCUUCAUUCGGUCUACGAAAUUCUGCAGCUGAUUCAAAUCCGGAACCUGAACCAGAGUCGGAGGUAAAUCUUGAGCCAUAUCUAAAGCAGUCUGAAGUUCAAGUACUUGAGCCCUUGACAAUGGUUUUGAAAUAGGAACAUCUUGGAUUACUGCAGACUUGUACCCCUUGGUUUCAAAGGUAAGGAAAGGCAUUGCUUGAGUACAAUUUGGAGGCAGCUUCUUCACCAAUUUUAUUUGGAGGCGAUUGGCAGCGGAUCCAGCUGCACCAAUUUCAGAGCAAAUACUGACACUACUUCGAACAGCACACUGAAGAAGUGAUAUGUCUACGGCAAAGGCAAUGCAGUCCUCAUUUUGGCUUGAGAUGCAGUAAUCAUCGAAGAGAGUUUCCUUGUGAAACUGGGCAACACAUUGAAUCCCUUCGCCACUGAGAAGGUUGUGGAGGAAGUAAGCUUUCUCUCUAGUGAGGAAGAGGUGGCAUACCUUCCCCAUUUUGUCUAGGGCAGGUAGGAAUCAUUUUUCUAAGAGAUUUACUUCAUUCUCUGUGAGAAAUGAAUUGAACUUCAUCCCUCUGUCUCUAUCCUCACUUAUCAGAAAAUAAGUUGAAAGCACUUCGGAGAGAGAGAGAGAGAGAAUUAAGAUAUAUAGACAAGAAAAAUAUUAGACGUUGAUCUUACAAACUAAUACUUCAAGCAGUAUCCUAGAAAGCUAAAAACUGCAAGAUGGCUUGAAAUUUGAAAAGAGCACGUGCUUUUCCUCCUUAACUUGAGAAAAUGUUUAAUAUAGUGCACCUACAGAAGCAUUUAAGCAAUUAGAACUUUGCACAAAAACAUCAAGAAGACUAAACAAAUCAGAUGCAGUGUAUUUGUCCAAGCACAAAUUGCAUUUUGUCCUCAACUUUAAUAUUUAUUGAUGAGAAUCAAUACAGGUCCCUCAUUUGAUAUAGAAAGCUUUCUUUCUUGUAGUCUCACCAGUUAAUUCACAGGUCUAUAAUCAUCUUGCAAAGUUAAGGGCAUUUCUUUCGAUCUAAAGUCUUUGCAUCACCACCUCAUCACACGCCAAGCCAAUAUUCCAUUUACCUCUACAACAAAAAGUUUUAAGUAAACAAUCCUAAUGCACGCAGCCAAAUAAAAUGCAGUAAGAAUAUUCAACUUAAAAAUCUGAAAGCCGACUUGGUGAAUUGCCUCCUUAGGUGAAGUUCCAUGCUUUACUAUAGUUGACAGAACUCAGCAAAAGCUUCCAUACAACAGAUUUUGAAAAUGAUGAUGCCAAUAGAUACUCAUUCAAUCCAUUGAAAAUCCAAAGGUUCAUUGUUAAUAGAAGUUUACAGAGUUUUGGUCAUCAAAUAGCUCAGACCUAAUCCCAAACAAAAAACGAGUGAAAAUUAGAUCACGAGCAGCUGAUUGUAAAUUCUAACUUAACUCUUCAUCUCCUUUGUAAACAAGAAACAAAAUGGAGACACGCAAAAUGAAUAUGGAGAAAAUUUGAACUCAAAUGAAAUGAGGGCACGAAAGCAAACAAAUGGCAUGCACAAAAAAACCAAGCCUCAAUCAAAAACUAAUUAACCAUUAAGAAAAAAAUUGGUCAGAUAAUGAACUACAAAUUCAGGAGUCAAGCAAGAAGCUUUCAUUAUUUCAGAAGCUCCUGUACAAAUUAAUAAGUUAUGCUCUUUGGAAGCAAACCUAAAUUCCAAGAGAAACAGAACCCAAAAAAUUUGCAAUUAUACGCAAAGGGAGUGAAGCACAGGAUUCUAUCACACAUAGGAAUUGUAUAACAAGAGAUCGAUAUAUCGAAUUAGAAAACUCAAUUCGAAUUUGUGUCAAAAAUCAAAAUUAGAAGAUUUCACAUUUCGAGAGGAACAAGCAACAGAUGAAGUUCAAAAUUUCAGCCAUAACAUGCUAAAAAUGCUACACUUAACGGUUCAUUUUCAUGGAUUUUCUCGGGAAACAAACAGAAAAUUACGGUUUAGAGAUUUGACUGACCUUUUGGCUUUUGAAAUUGAGAAGAUCGCACGCCAAAUUGGAAGAGGGAAAGUGAAAGUGCGAGUUUUAAUAUGGGUAUUAGAUAAGGAAAUUUUAUUAGGUUGCGAGGGUAAAAAAGGAAAGAGAUAUCAUUGUUUUAUUAUCGAUAAUUAUUAAAUUUUUUUCCAAAAAAAAAGAACAAGCAAGGAUAUUUUAUUGUCAUUUGCAACCUUUAAUUUUUUAAAUGCUAUUAGAAACACAAGACAAUAAAGAAAUACUUAUUUUUUUCUAAAACUAAAAUCAAUUGUUUAAAAAAAAUUGUUUCAAAAUUACUUGAGUCAUAUCCAAUGGACCAACAAAGUAAUCGUUUUUAUUUUUAUUGAUUUUUGCAGGAAAUUAAUAACUUAAAAAUACUGAAAGCUAUUGUAAAAAUUUUUAUUAUCAACCUCAUAGUUUUUUUUUUUUUUUUUGGGAAGAGAAUUCAAACUUUUUUUUUUAUGAAUAUCGCUGUUUCGUUUGAGUUGGAUGUGAAUUCAAAUACAAAUAUUCUUUGUUUUUCAAUUCUGAACUCAAUUUCUUUUUUUCAAGAAUGUUAUGCAGAAAUGAUUUUUACUGAACGGCAACAAAUGAAAAGGCUGGGCCAAGUGGAAUGGUGGGUUUCGAGGGUGGAUGCUGUUAAAAUUGAAGCUGAUGAACUUAUCAGAGACGGCUCUCAAGAAAUUGACAAAUUGUGUGUUGGAGGCUACUGUUCUAAGAACUGCACGUCAAGCUACAAGUUCGGGAAACAAGUGGCUAAAAAGCUACGAGAUGUGGAGACUUUAAUCGCUGAAGGAGUUUUUGAGGCGGUGGCUACCGAGGUGGUGCCUGAGAGAGCAGAGCCUGUAGCAGAUGAAAGACCUACCGAGCGAACAGUAGUAGGCUUGCAAUCACAACUUGAACAAGUCUGGAGAUGUCUUGCAGAAGAAUCAGAGGGAAUCAUUGGCCUAUAUGGUAUGGGCGGUGUUGGUAAAACUACAU